RNAcentral lists this ribosomal RNA (778 nucleotides) under uncultured Neocallimastigales. RNAcentral describes it as "partial large subunit ribosomal RNA". It matches the Rfam family "Eukaryotic large subunit ribosomal RNA", at positions 24 to 634 of the family's 3401-position model. Lineage: Eukaryota; Fungi; Neocallimastigomycota; Neocallimastigomycetes; Neocallimastigales. The record is from RNAcentral.
UAUCUCUGUAGAGUCUGCAUAUCAAUAAGCGGAGGAAAAGAAACUAACAAGGAUUCCCUUAGUAACGGCGAGUGAAGCGGGAAGAGCUCAAAUUUGAAAUCUUCAAGGUUUUACCUUGACGAAUUGUAGUUUAAAGAAGUGUUUUCUGUUGAAGUUUUGGUAAAAGUUCUUUGGAAUAGGACAUCAUAGAGGGUGAGAAUCCCGUAUUUGACCAUUAUUUUCAGCUGUGUGAUACACUUUCGAAGAGUCGGAUUGUUUGGGAAUGCAGUCCAAAAUGGGUGGUAAAUUUCAUCUAAAGCUAAAUAUUGGCGAGAGACCGAUAGCGAACAAGUACCGUGAGGGAAAGAUGAAAAGAACUUUGAAAAGAGAGUUAAACAGUACGUGAAAUUGUCAAAAGGGAAGCGUUUGACACCAGUGUUGUUUUCUCGAAAAUCAAUUAAAAAAGGCCGGAUUUUGUGUUGUAUUGACCUUAAAAGCUUUCUUCACUCUUUUCUUGUCUUUUUUAAUGCACUUUUCGUUUAACAAGUCAACAUCAGUUUCUUUUGUUGUAAAAGGGUCAUUGGAAGGUGGCUUUCUUUUCGGAGAAAGUGUUUAUAGCCUUUGCUCUCUGCAAUCGGAGAGAUUGAGGUCUGCAGCGUAGACUCCUUCGGGGUUAGAUACAUUUGUGCUAAGUUAUAGCCUUUUCAUAGACAACUUGUUGACUAUGAUUCAGUCAUGUAGGCUUACUCGCUUAUGCUAUUUUACCUACGCUUAGGAUGUUGAUGUGAUACUGCGAGCA